RNAcentral lists this non-coding RNA (89 nucleotides) under Pseudomonas baetica. The record is from RNAcentral. Lineage: Bacteria; Pseudomonadati; Pseudomonadota; Gammaproteobacteria; Pseudomonadales; Pseudomonadaceae.
UUGUAUGGUGGGCAUGCGUGGGGCUCCUCUGUGAGCGCCGGGUUUCCCGAUUUAACCGGUCUACCAACCCGCGCAUGGCCGCCACCCGC